RNAcentral lists this ribosomal RNA (202 nucleotides) under Hyaloscyphaceae sp. RNAcentral describes it as "partial large subunit ribosomal RNA". Lineage: Eukaryota; Fungi; Ascomycota; Leotiomycetes; Helotiales; Hyaloscyphaceae. The record is from RNAcentral.
ACCAGACUUUUUCCUAGUGGAUCAUCCGGUGUUCUCACCGGUGCACUUCGCUAGGUUUAGGCCAGCAUCGGUUUUGGUGGGCGGAUAAAGGCCUUGGGAAUGUAGCUUCUUUCGGGGAGUGUUAUAGCCCUCGGUGCAAUGCGCCCUACCGGGACCGAGGACCGCGCUUCGGCUAGGAUGCUGGCGUAAUGGUUGUAAGCGA